GCGACCCUAGGUUAGGCGGGAUCACCCGCUGAGUUUAAGCAUAUCAAUAAGCGGAGGAGAAGAAACUUACAAGGAUUCCCCUAGUAACGNGGAGCGAACCGGGAUCAGCCUAGCUUGGGAAUCGGGCGGCGAUGCCAUCCGAAUUGUAGUCUGUAGAAUUAUUCUCAGCAACGGACCGAGCCCAAGUYCCCUGGAAGGGGGCGCCGGAGAGGGUGAGAGCYCCGUCGUGCUUGGACCCUAUUGCACCACGAGGCGCUGUCGGCGAGUCGGGUUGUUUGGGAAUGCAGCCUCAAUCGGGCGGUAAAUUCCGUCUAAGGCUAAAUACCGGUGAGAGAUCGAUAGCGAAUAAGUACCGCGAGGGAAAGAUGAAAAGGACUUUGAAAAGAGAGUCAAAGAGUGCUUGAAAUUGUCAGAAGGGAAGCGGAUGGGGGCCGGCGAUGUGCCCCGAUCGGAUGCGGAACGGCAACGAACCGGUCCACCGCUCGGCUAGGGAUGURGACUGAUGCRGUUCACAGAGGUGACCGAAGCCCGGGCAAGUAGCUGCCCGURGAGACAUUGCCCCCGUGAUCGURGUAGGCAGCGCGCGCCUAGAGGCAUGCUUUAUGCAACUGCGCGCUCUCAGCGUCGGCCUGUAGGCUCCCCAUUCGGCCCGUCUUGAAACACGGACCAAGGAGUCUGACAUGUGUACGAGUCAACGGGUGAGUAAACCCGUAAGGCGCAAAGAAGCUGAUUGGCGGGAUCCCCCUGUAGGUUGUACCGCCGACCGACCUA
Molecule: ribosomal RNA, 771 nt
Filed under: Glaucidium palmatum
Lineage: Eukaryota; Viridiplantae; Streptophyta; Magnoliopsida; Ranunculales; Ranunculaceae
Description: eukaryotic LSU rRNA
Rfam family: Eukaryotic large subunit ribosomal RNA
Source: RNAcentral